AGCGAACGCUGGCGGCGUGCCUAACACAUGCAAGUCGAACGUGAAAGGGAGCAAUCCCAAGUAAAGUGGCGUACGGGUGAGUAACACGUAGGUAAUCUACCCCAGAAUCUGGAAUAACCGGCCGAAAGGCUGGCUAAUACUGGAUAGAGCGACGGAAUCCGUAAUUGGGUUUUUCGGGAAAGGGAGCCUGUAAAAAGGCCUUCGUUCUGGGAUGAGCCUGCGUCCCAUCAGCUAGUUGGUGAGGUAAAAGCUUACCAAGGCAAUGACGGGUAGCUGGUCUGAGAGGACGAUCAGCCACACUGGAACGGAAACACGGUCCAGACUCCUACGGGAGGCAGCAGUGGGGAAUCUUGCGCAAUGGACGAAAGUCUGACGCAGCAACGCCGCGUGAGUGAAGAAGGCCGUCGGGUUGUAAAGCUCUGUCGAGUGGGACGAAAAUGCUUGGAGUUCACAGCUCCAGGAACUGACGGUACCACUAAAGGAAGCACCGGCUAACUCCGUG
This 502-nucleotide ribosomal RNA is filed under the name uncultured bacterium. RNAcentral's name for it is "partial 16S ribosomal RNA". It matches the Rfam family "Bacterial small subunit ribosomal RNA", at positions 29 to 507 of the family's 1533-position model. The record is from RNAcentral.